RNAcentral lists this RNase P RNA (379 nucleotides) under Pseudomonadales bacterium. RNAcentral describes it as "RNase P RNA component class A". It matches the Rfam family "Bacterial RNase P class A". From Rfam's summary of the family: Ribonuclease P (RNase P) is a ubiquitous endoribonuclease, found in archaea, bacteria and eukarya as well as chloroplasts and mitochondria. Lineage: Bacteria; Pseudomonadati; Pseudomonadota; Gammaproteobacteria; Pseudomonadales. The record is from RNAcentral.
UGAGUCAGCUGGACAAUUGCUGUUUGCAUCACUUUGUUUUUCGCCUAGCGAAUAAUGAGGUAGUAGAUAGAGGAAAGUCCGGGCUCCAGAGAGCAGGGUGCCAGGUAACUCCUGGGGGGUGUGAACCCACGGCUAGUGCAGCAGAAAAUAUACCGCUUCUUGUUUAACAGGGAGUAAGGGUGAAAUGGUGCGGUAAGAGCGCACCGCGCGACUGGUAACAGUUCGCGGCAAGGUAAACCCCACUCGGAGCAAGGCCAAAUAGGGAUCCUCUAAUGUUGCUCGCAUUGGAUUCGGGUAGGCCGCUAGAAGCCUGUGGUGACGCAGGCUGCAGAUGAAUAAUUGUCCUCGACAGAACCCGGCUUACAGGCUGGCUCACCGU